GUCGCGGUAGUAUAAAAAUACGCUACUCUUUCGUGGUAGAGCAGGCAAUCACACGGAGAUUGCCCCGUGAUA
Molecule: transfer RNA, 72 nt
Filed under: Pupa strigosa
Lineage: Eukaryota; Metazoa; Mollusca; Gastropoda; Acteonidae
Description: tRNA-Glu
Source: RNAcentral